This 341-nucleotide ribosomal RNA is filed under the name Heterosigma akashiwo. Its description in RNAcentral is "partial Bacterial large subunit ribosomal RNA". It matches the Rfam family "Bacterial large subunit ribosomal RNA", at positions 1532 to 1881 of the family's 2925-position model. The record is from RNAcentral. Lineage: Eukaryota; Raphidophyceae; Chattonellales; Chattonellaceae.
GUAGGCAAAUCCGCAGACCUAGUCGAACCUGAUAGUACCACAAAGCUUCGGCUGCGUGGAUAGUGUUCCUAAGCGCUUCCAAGAAAAACCUCUAAGCUUCAGGUUAUACCAACUCGUACCGCAAACCAACACAGGUAGUCAAGUAGAGAAUACUGAGGUGCUCGAGUGAUUCAUGGCUAAGGAACUAGGCAAAAUGGUCUCGUAACUUCGGGAGAAGAGACGCCAACUUCGGUUGGCCGCAGUGAAUAGGCCCAGGCGACUGUUUAUCAAAAACACAGGGCUCUGCUAAAUCGAAAGAUGAUGUAUAGGGCCUGACACCUGCCCGGUGCUGGAAGGUUAAG